CCCUUAGACGUUCUGGGCCGCACGCGCGCUACACUGACCAGUGCAACAAGCAUCCGUCCUUGGCCGACAGGCCCGGGCAAUCUUUGAACGCUGGUCGUGAUGGGGAUAGACUUUUGCAAUUUUUGGUCUUCAACGAGGAAUUCCUAGUAAACGCAAGUCAUCAACUUGCAUUGAUCACGUCCCUGCCCUUUGUACACACCGCCCGUCGCACCUACCGAUUGAAUGGUCCGGUGAAGCCUCCGGAUUGGCGCGCACCUCGGUGCCGCCGAGAAGUUGGCUAAACCUUACCAUUUAGAGGAAGGUGAAGUCGUAACA
This 315-nucleotide ribosomal RNA is filed under the name uncultured eukaryote. RNAcentral's name for it is "partial 18S ribosomal RNA". It matches the Rfam family "Eukaryotic small subunit ribosomal RNA", at positions 1470 to 1796 of the family's 1831-position model. The record is from RNAcentral.